Molecule: ribosomal RNA, 453 nt
Filed under: uncultured bacterium
Lineage: Bacteria
Description: bacterial SSU rRNA
Rfam family: Bacterial small subunit ribosomal RNA
Source: RNAcentral
UACGGAAGGCAGCAGUGGGGAAUAUUGCACAAUGGGCGCAAGCCUGAUGCAGCCAUGCCGCGUGUAUGAAGAAGGCCUUCGGGUUGUAAAGUACUUUCAGUCGUGAGGAAGGUGUUAAGGUUAAUAACCUUAGCAAUUGACGUUAGCGACAGAAGAAGCACCGGCUAACUCCGUGCCAGCAGCCGCGGUAAUACGGAGGGUGCGAGCGUUAAUCGGAAUUACUGGGCGUAAAGGGCACGCAGGCGGUUAAUUAAGUUGGAUGUGAAAUCCCCGGGCUUAACCUGGGAAUGGCAUUCAAGACUGGUUAGCUAGAGUCUUGUAGAGGGGGUAGAAUUCCAUGUGUAGCGGUGAAACGCGUAGAGAUGUGGAGGAAUACCGGUGGCGAAGGCGGCCCCUGGACAAAGACUGACGCUCAUGUGCGAAAGCGUGGGGAGCAAACAGGGAUUAGAUACC